AGAAUCAACGCUGGCGGCGUGCCUAACACAUGCAAGUCGAACGAGAAAGUGGGAGCAAUCCCAUGAGUAAAGUGGCGCACGGGUGAGUAACACGUGACUAACCUACCCUUGAGUGGGGGAUAACCUAGGGAAACCUGGGCUAAUACCGCAUAAUACCUACGGGUCAAAGGAGCAAUUCGCUUUAGGAGGGGGUCGCGGCAGAUUAGUUAGUUGGCGGGGUAAUGGCCCACCAAGACAGUGAUCUGUAUCCGGCCUGAGAGGGCGCACGGACACACUGGAACUGAAACACGGUCCAGACUCCUACGGGAGGCAGCAGUGGGAAUUUUGCGCAAUGGGGGAAACCCUGACGCAGCAACGCCGCGUGGAGGAUGAAGCCCCGUUGGGCGUAAACUCCUUUCGAUCGGAAGAUAAUGACGGUACCGGAAGAAGAAGCCCCGGCUAACUUCGUGCCAGCAGCCGC
This 460-nucleotide ribosomal RNA is filed under the name uncultured bacterium. Its description in RNAcentral is "SSU rRNA". It matches the Rfam family "Bacterial small subunit ribosomal RNA", at positions 26 to 518 of the family's 1533-position model. The record is from RNAcentral.